Molecule: long non-coding RNA, 2537 nt
Organism: Rosa chinensis
Lineage: Eukaryota; Viridiplantae; Streptophyta; Magnoliopsida; Rosales; Rosaceae
Exons: 18
Source: RefSeq, a predicted model, not a curated record
GGGGGUGGGGGGAAUCCCCGUUUGCUCAUUUUUAAUUGCGUCAGACUUCUAUUCCAUCUCCUGUUUAAUCUUCAGCAGCAGAGAUCUUUCCAAUCAUCGUCUGCUCUUUGCAUCGGACUUCUAUUGGAUCUUUAGCAUCUGUUCUUUUCUUUUAAUCUUGGUGACUGGAUUGGUUUUGGGUAGACGGAGAAGUUGGGGCCAGCAACGAGAGGAGGCGACAGUAAAAGAAAGAGAGAGAAGAGAACAGGGAAAGAAGAAAGAAGAAGAAGACGGGAAGCUGUGUGUGUUUUCUUUGAUCGAUUGUGUGCGCCGGAAUUUUUGUAUCGUUUCACUGCCAUUGUUCUUCUGUCUGUUGAUUAACAUUAUCUUCAUCUCUUAUUGUUAUUCAGACACUGGGAACAGUGUGCUAUCAGCUUCUGUUACUGUGGAUUCAGUUGUUGUUCCAAAGAUGAGGUGGAUAAGACUUAAGAGAUUGUUACAGGAUUGUCAUGGUGAAAAUCAUAAUAGUCAGAGAGAAGUGCAAGAAACAUCUAAUAACCAGUAUUUAAGUGGUGGUAUAGUUGAAGCUGGAACUGUGAUACUUGAAGCGUCCGACUUGGGAAUGAGAAAAAACAAUCAACGUUCACAGAAUCAGUCUACUGCUGCGAAUGAUGAUGUCAAUCGAUUUCAGCAUCGUCGCAAACGGCUUAGAAGUAGUCAUCGUCUCACAACUUCAAAUUGGACUUCUUCUGGAACCUUGCAUUCUUUAGAGACAGACAGUUCUUUCCAACUUCCAAGAACCAAAUGUGAAUGAAUAGUGACAAAAUGAAUGUCAUUUUGUGUCUCGACCAUUCUACCCCUCUCUUGCCUGGUCUUUUACGAAACUGUCCUUCCAAUUUCCGUUCGAUAUCUGUGGCAUAUACCAAUUUGCUUGAAGAAAAAGAAGAAAUAGACAUUGCAGGCUGGUUUUGGUUUGAGUGGGGAUCCUAUCAUUACAACUCAUGCAAGCAAGUUGAUGCUGUUGAAAUCAAUUGCACACCAUCUAGAAUAUUACAUACUUGCAAGUACCAGAAGCUGCAGUUUGUCUCCUUCCUCAUCAAAAGUGAAGUUGAAGGCAUAUACUGAUCGAACUUCAUGAAAAAGAACGAGUGGAACAUAUAUUCCAUCCUGGUUCGAAUGAGACAUUGCUUUUGACAGUGCAAGACAACGGGAAACAACUUCUUCAAAUCCAAGGAAUGUUAGAACAAAAGAUGUAGCAAUGAGAAACAAUUCAAGCAGCUAAUGUGAGGCUGGCAGGGAAAGGUGGAGAGUUGUCACAUCAUGAAACUACCACUAUUGGUGGUGCUUUGGAUUUGACGCGGAAAACUGCUGAAGAUGUUUUGACUCCAAUAUCAGAAAAUUUUACCCUUCAUAAACUCCAAACUUCACAUGAAACACUGGAUUUAAUAAUGAGCAGAGGUCACAGCCGUAUACCAAUCUAUUCAGGAAAUCUAAAUAAUAUCAUUGGCCUCAUUUUGCACUGCUUUUUUUGAAACAACCUCAGCAUACAACACGUCCUAAUCUGUCUAGGAGUUGGAGAGGGUGGCUCAUAUAUGUCCGGAAGAAAGAGAGGAGACAAAACAGAGAGAGAGAGAAGAGAACAGGGAAUAAGGAAAAGAAGCAGAAGAGAGAGGUGGAAAGUUGUUACUCAAAACAAAACAAAACAAGUGGAAGGUAUCAAGUGCUCAACAAACCAAGAGAGGCCAACACCUUAUGAAAUGAAUAUCUAAAAGCAUCAAAAGAGCAUUCUACCUGCAACUACUCUUUUGCUGGAGACCAAAACGCAAGACACACCUAAAGAAUAGUUUAUCCCUUCCUUGAGUCAAAAAAUGCCUUGAUUGUAUCUAAGCAGACCAUUCUACUUGGUGUGGAGGUAGUGCAGUAGCUGCUUAUGUCUUUCUACAACUGCAGCAAUUGGAUGUUCACUGAUACACAGAUUUGGAAGCUUAAGAUAUUGUGCUCCAAGGAACUUCAGAAUAACAAGCCAAACCGCUAAUUUUCAACAUCCAUCAAACAGUUCUCAUUAUUGUCUUUCAUCUAUUGCUCUAUUAGAUGAUACAUACCAAGUUUGAUUUGAAGUUAUUGAUUCCAGUGAGAAAUUUUUGUAACAUAUUUUAAUCAUUCUUUAAUCAAGGUGUGCAACAGAAACAUUCUGCUAUGUAAUGUUAUCCGAGUAACAUAUAACAGUAAUUCCCGCAGCAAAGCGCGGGCGAAUAUUACUAGUUCUAACUAUACUAAAACGCAAAUUAGAUGAGGACAAACAAAAUGAAUAGUUGAAGGACGUUUUUGCCCUUCACUUUUCUGCUGUUUUACUCAGUUGUCCCUCCCUUACACCUGUAGUGCUGCUCAGAAAUGCUUGGCUCAAUUAACGACAGAUAGAGAGUGAGAGAGGAUGGAGUGAGUGAAUCACAGUUCAACCAAGUCUUGAAUGUAGAACUGGAUCAGAUUAUUGAGGCCUGCAAGUUUCUUGACGAGAGCUGGUGUCCAAAGUCCAUGGUUAUUAUUGCACAAAAGAAUCA